This is a long non-coding RNA of Peromyscus californicus insignis, 2602 nucleotides long. RefSeq lists it as uncharacterized. The record is from RefSeq and is a predicted model, not a curated record. The transcript is spliced from 4 exons. Lineage: Eukaryota; Metazoa; Chordata; Mammalia; Rodentia; Cricetidae.
GAUGACUGAAGAUGACAUUUAGCGUCACUGUAAGGACUCACCCCAAUCUCUACCACGGUACUCCUUUGUCCAAAUUUGUUUUGUUCUUGUAGUGUCCAAAACAAAACCAUCUUGAAAAGUCCCCAAAGUCCAGCACCCCUGGUGCCACCCCAAAGGGAUAGGGGGAGACGUAAGAGAUACUCAGAACAGCUAUUAAAAAAAAACAACCAUUUACAGGCAGAAAGAUGGACUUGAGUGGAAACACAGUGUUAUGGGCAAUUUCCCCUCAUAACUCAAGGACAAAGAACUUUAUUACUAUUUAAACUCCAAUACUGCACCAAUUAAAUCCCAGCGUAGGAACCACAGCUUCCUGUCUGUGUGUCAUUCAAAACAGUAGUCUCUCUCACGUUCCCUAAAGAAUCAUAAGGAUAACUUUUAUCCACUGUGAUCACUCUUAUUCUUGGCGAUUAAGGGGGAGAGGAGACUAUUCGCAGCUGAUGCUGGCUCGUGUUCUCGAUGCGGUGACGAACGCUUCAUGAACAAUACGAUUUCCUCACAAAAAAUCUUGGGUGAAACACCUCACUGAAAGUACCCAUUGUGUGACUGACCGCUCUUGGAGGCCAGGAAGUGCAGCUGUAGGGGUCCAGUCUCUUCAGCAGAGGAGCUGGUGUAUGAAAGAGCAAGAGCCCCCAGCACAUGCUGUUCGUUCCAGACAUCAGCUCCCUUUCUCCAUUUUGUAGAAUCCAGAAUCACCCUGCCCAGGGAAUGGUAUCACAAAAUUAAGGGACACUGUUUAAGGGACAUAUUUUUAUCAUCCACUCCUGGUGACUCAUCAACCUUAAGGCCCUCAGAUAGCUGACAGUUGAGAACCUGCAGCUGAUGUCCUUGGAUCCUGUCCAGCCCAGAACGUGGUUGACUAUGAGAAGUGAAACCAUGAAAAAAGGACUGUGCAUUUCUUGCACCCUGUGCAUUUCUUGUGCCCUGUAGAGAUAAAACAUGACUUUCUGCCUCAUCACACAAUUACAACUGUAGUUUUCUGACUUCUUUGUUCACAGGUGAACUAAAUUUAAGUCUCAUGGAAAUGAAAACCACAUGAUUCUAAUUUAAUUUAGUAGUUUUAAAAUAAGACAGUAAAACAUCACCAGUGUUUAUCAAUCCUGACCCUGUGUUUGCAUAAGCCAUGUGUGUUUCAAAAGUAAUUAUUGCACGAGCGGGGUAGGGAGACUCCAAAGAUAUCUCAGGAAAAUGAAGACUCCCACCACCCUUUCAGACUCCUGUUGACUUUUAACAUCUCAAUGACCGUCCUACUUGGACAAUCAAGAUGUUCUGUGUAGAUAGGGCCUAUUUCUGAAAGUGUCAGAAGUCAUGUUAUCUUGAGGCCUCGGCUCCAACUUAUAAAGAUUUCUGAUGCUCCAUGGGUGAGAGGCAGAACAUUAUCAGACUGCUUCUGCAUUGAGAGUUUGAACAAGAAAUAGCAAAAACACAGCUUUCUUUCCUUUCCCUGGAGCUUUUCAGUACCAGCGCCAUGUCCAGGGUGACAGGACUGAGCCUCUGCCUGAGACGGAGGAGUCCUUAGAGGCAUUUGACUUCUUUCAGUGUGCAAAGCUCUUCCCUUUGGAGUCUUGCCUGCCUUCCCAGCUCCGUUCCCAUCUCUUCUUCUGAAAGCUCCUGGAUUGUUGUUCUUCUGUUGCCACGAUGAACACCAUGACAAAAAGCUACUUGGGAAGGAAAGGGUUUCUUUCAUCAUGAAGAAAGUCAAGGCAGGAAUUAAAGGCAAGAGCCUGGAGGCAGGAACUGAAGCAGAGGCCAUGGAGGAGUGCUGCUUACUGGCUUGCUCCCUGUGUCUUUCUCAGCCUGUUUUCUUAACCAUCCAGGACCACCUGCCCUUGGGCAACACCAUCCACCAUGAGCUGGACCCUCCCACACCAAUCAUUAAUCAAGAAAAUGCCUCACAGACUAAUCUGAUGGAGACAUUUUUUCAGUUAGGUAUCCCUCUUUCCAGAGGACCCCAGUUUAUGUCAAGUUUUGACAAAUAACUAUCCAGCAUAGCCCCUCCCUAGAUCAGGGUGAUUCUGACACAUUUCUAUCUGGAUAUACCAGUCCAGCCAGUCCAGCUGUUUGGAAGGGGCCCAUCAAUCAAAGAAAUGCUAAGGGUGUGGUCUUGCCCCUUAAAGCAUCUCCCAUGGAUCUAUCUUUAGUCCAUUGUUGGUUUUUAAAAACUAACGUAGGCCCUGUACAAGGUUUUGCUCUCACAGGUCUAGCAACUUGUUCAAGAUACAGUUGGGACAAGAGCUGGGGUGCAGCGCUUGCUUGAUACACAUGUGGCCCCAGGGUCCAUCUGUAUCACCACAACCGAAGGAUAGCAGUAGAGAUCUCAGUGGGGUUUGUGACCACUUCUGGCUCAUGGGAUGUAGCUAUGAUGUGGGUAAGUCUGGAUACCCGCUGGCACCACUCCUCCCCUCUGAGGCAGUCUUCCUCACAUGACCACAUGUCUGUCAGUCUGUCCUGAGGCCCAGGGUCCAGCUAGGAGAAGGACCACAUUCCAAGAGAUUUACAAGCUGCAAGCAACAACUACUCAGGAAAAAUGACUCCAAUUUUGAACUUGUGGACGUUAAAAGAUAAU